GAUGAACGCUGGCGGCGUGCCUAACACAUGCAAGUCGAACGGAGAUUAACGCUGAAUUGAUAAUUAGCUUGCUAAGAGGAUUUUCUUGUUAAUCUUAGUGGCGGACGGGUGAGUAACACGUGAGCAACCUGCCUUUCAGAGGGGGAUAACGGCUGGAAACGGUCGCUAAUACCGCAUGACAUAUUCGGAUGGCAUCGUCUGAAUAUCAAAGGAGCAAUCCGCUGAAAGAUGGGCUCGCGUCUGAUUAGAUAGUUGGUGAGGUAACGGCUCACCAAGUCGACGAUCAGUAGCCGGACUGAGAGGUUGAACGGCCACAUUGGGACUGAGAUACGGCCCAGACUCCUACGGGAGGCAGCAGUGGGGAAUAUUGCACAAUGGGGGAAACCCUGAUGCAGCAACGCCGCGUGAAGGAAGACGGUUUUCGGAUUGUAAACUUCUUUUCUUAGUGAAGAAGAAAGUGACGGUAGCUAAGGAAUAAGCAUCGGCUAACUACGUGCCAGCAGCCGCGGUAA
RNAcentral lists this ribosomal RNA (512 nucleotides) under uncultured bacterium. RNAcentral's name for it is "bacterial SSU rRNA". It matches the Rfam family "Bacterial small subunit ribosomal RNA", at positions 28 to 523 of the family's 1533-position model. The record is from RNAcentral.